RNAcentral lists this ribosomal RNA (424 nucleotides) under uncultured bacterium. RNAcentral describes it as "bacterial SSU rRNA". It matches the Rfam family "Bacterial small subunit ribosomal RNA", at positions 355 to 775 of the family's 1533-position model. The record is from RNAcentral.
CGAGGAAUAUUGGUCAAUGGGCGCAAGCCUGAACCAGCCAUCCCGCGUGCAGGAAGACGGCCCUAUGGGUUGUAAACUGCUUUUCCAGGGAGAGAAACCUGCGCACGUGUUGCGCAAUUGACGGUACCCUGGGAAUAAGCAUCGGCUAACUCCGAGCCAGCAGCCGCGGUAAUACGGAGGAUGCAAGCGUUAUCCGGAUUCAUUGGGUUUAAAGGGUGCGUAGGCGGACUAUUAAGUCAGUGGUGAAAGCCUGCAGCUUAACUGCAGAACUGCCAUUGAUACUGAUAGUCUUGAGUUUGGUUAAGGUAGGCGGAAUGUGUAAUGUAGCGGUGAAAUGCUUAGAUAUUACACAGAACACCAAUUGCGUAGGCAGCUUACUGAGCCGACACUGACGCUGGGGCACGAAAGCGUGGGGAUCGAACAG